Molecule: long non-coding RNA, 4001 nt
Organism: Cuculus canorus (common cuckoo)
Lineage: Eukaryota; Metazoa; Chordata; Aves; Cuculiformes; Cuculidae
Exons: 3
Source: RefSeq, a predicted model, not a curated record
GAAAAUAAAGUUAAUAUUGGAGGAAUCUGGGUUUACCGAAAUUUUAAAAUGGCAUGUUCCACGUAGUCGUGAUAUGAUAUUUCUGAUUAUAUUUUUGAUGGCUUAAGGCUGGAUUCAAAUCUCCAUAGGUCAAUGAAAAGACAUUCAACAACUUUAUUUGGAUCUGAAUUUGUUCCUAAAGCUCUAGUAUGGAAAGGGAAGAAUUGAUAAGACAAAUAGCAACCAGCUUCACUGCAAAGCUCAUAUAUUUUAAAUGCACAUAAAUUUUUUCUUUGUCACCUUCAGCUGCGUACCCACUUUAUUGACACCAAGAGUCAGUGCAGAUUACUGUUGUAUCAAGCAACCAAUUUUCCCCACAUGAAGGCAAUUGCAUUUGCACACACUGGCUGCAUCCUCAGCUGAAAAGCAUUGGGAACAUACCCUGGUACGAUCAUUUCUGAUUCAAUUUACACCCAUCCUACAGGGCUGUGAAUAAUUAUGCCAAGCACUGGGAGGAGAAAAAUUAUCUUACUCUUUCCUGAGCAAAUAUGAAGAUAUCUGUGAUAAUUCCAAUCAGCAUUUCCCUGAAUACAGGAAAAUAAUUACCAAUCUUAGCAGUAGGUGAGUGUCAGGAAUAGGUAAUUUUAACACCUUCCUUGCAAAAACAGUUUCUGAAUAGGAAGGGAUGGCAUUUGUACAAGGUGGGAAGCCAGUAAAUAUGUAAUCAGAACUAAUUCUUGAUGAAGGAGACUGUGUCUAACCAUGUUGACCAGGGAGGAGAGGACUGCUGCCUUCACAGGUAACGUUAUUUAGAUUUACACCAGGACAAUGAAAGAAAAAGUGGAGAGAUGGGAGAAACGGGAGGGUCCCUCUCCAUACAGCAAGACACAUCCAGAGGAGGGAAAGGAACAACGCUGUGAUGCGUGAGCUGCUGCCCUGACACACAUAGGUAUGUGGAUAGUUUUAACUUGAGCUUCUCAGUGCAGAUCAAUAAAAGAAACGGGUUUACGUUCUGGCCUCUGAACACAAGGAUGACCAGAGCAUUGCCUACACCCAGACAGGUCGAGGUGGUUUCCCUGGGGCACUGAGGAGAGGGGUUUGAUGCCCUGCGUAGUCAACAGGAAUCUGAACAUCAAAAGUAUUUGCCAGUAUGUUUGCAGAACAUAUGUAUAAGAUAAAAAUACAUGCAAGCUUUUUAGCACUUCCAUUUUCCACGGAAGUUUAGAAGACAUAAUACAUGUCACAUCGCAGCAGGCACCGCGUCGGCCUCUUUCUGCCAUCUCACUGAAGAGACAAAACACAAUAAUCAAGGCAGAGAAGUAAAUACAGAGAAUAAUUUGUUCCAGAACUGCCCAGAGCAGAUGCUCGCCCUGAGCAGACACAGUGACCGCUGCCCAGGAAAAACCCUUUCCCCACCAAGCUUUCUUUCCCCCUGUUGAAGACAGCAAAUGUUUCAGAGAUAUUUAUGGGAGAUGUUUUGGCAACAACAGCCUCGAGCAGCUUACGGGGCUACACCCAGAGGGAAAGUUGUACUCAGAUUACCGUGUUUCUCAGCAAAACGCUACAUGUCCUUUAAGAUCACUGUUGUACCUCAAUGUAAAAAAAAAAGAGAGCUUUGCAGCAAUUCCUAUUCUGAACUGGUACAGUUUUCAAAUUACAGACUGAGAAAGCAGGUGGAGGCUGUGAAGCCUCCUCGGCCUGAGGACUAACUUUUCUCCACUCAACUGUUGUCUACACUUAAUCAUCCUUAUUAGACCUUCAGUGCACACAAGCAACAUGGUCAAUUUGCUAGGAAAAUAUAAUUUGCCUUCUAUUUAUUAGUGUUUUUAUGUUCGUUUACAUGUUCAUUAACUUAAAAGGAAUAAACACUUGGGUGAUAUUGCUGCCCAAAUAACCCUGAAACUUAAGGGAGCAGAUUGCCUGUGACCUAAACAGUCCUGGUGAAAGAAAAGGUCCAGGACCAUUGAUUUUUUGGGACCGGUGUGGAUCCCUGCACAUUUCAGAGCAGCCUCAGCAUAGUCCCUUGCUGCUUGAGGUUGUACACCUCAUUCUGACAGCUCAGGACUACAGGAUGCAUCCCUUCCCACAAGAUAUGUCCUCUAACCCAGAGAAUGGUGUGGGAGUAGUCUGAAAUCAUAUAAAGCUAUCACUAUCGGUUCUCUGCAGCACUAAAAGAAAAACAGGAGGCAUUUCAUGCUGUAUAGCAAAUUCAGGCAUCUUUUCUGUCUGUGUGGUAAUAUGGUCCUCAGUACAAGAUCCCUGGUGUAUUAACCAGUUCCUUGCAUGGGCACAGAAGAGCAGCCAAGAGCACUGGAAAUAAAACCCCAAUAAAACUGCUCUACCUGCACCAAGCCCUCCUGCAUUAAGUCAAAUCAGACUUCUCCCCAGAUGCAAUAGGAUCAGCUGGCAUUGCUGACACGUUCUGAGACUGAGUUUUGUAUGAUUUCCUAUGCAUUGAGAGUGACAUCCUCUCAAAUUUAUGAACUUUCAUUCUAGGAAUUCUCAGCUGUAGGAUUUCUAGAACAAACCUACUUGUUUUAGGGAUCCCUUUGUUUUUUUUCCUAAGUAAAAGCUGUUAAUGACACAUUAACAUUUCCAGACCUCUGCGUGUAGACGCCAGAACAUACAAAGGAUGAAAAGCCCAACUGGGGAUCUGCAGGCCUGCGACCUAUCUUGUAAACAAUGUGACAAGCUAAUCUGUAUUUUUUCCAUCAGACGCUAAGACAGGCUGACCUCUGUGCUUGAGUUGGUGGGAAGAAACACAGAGAGCGAGCACUGUGUGGGUGCUGGAGAGUACGGUUGUUUCUCCAGAAUAAUCCUCUCCUGAUGGCACACAAAAGGUCUUGAAGAGCAUCAGACCCAUAGCUGCCUGCUAUUCUGCCUGGAACUAGAGCUCUCAACCUUAACCAAGUGGCCAGGUGCCAACAGGAUUGGUGGCAUUACUGCUAGCUGUGAGUUUUGACGGCAAAAAUGAACCUGAGAAAAGGCACAACUGAAGUCACACGCGAAAAAAAAGCAGGCUGGUGGCUGAAAACAUCUCAUCAGCAUCUGAAGACUGCAAAGAGUGGUCUGUGGGACUUUUGAAGAUGAUCAAACAAAGGAGAGAUAUUUGCGGCUUCUAAUAUAUAUGACAGACUCCUGGCCCUUCCCACUGCCUUCUGGGAGGGUUUGCUGGUGCAACAGUGGGGCAGCACGGCCGUAAGAGGUCUAAAACCCAGUCAAUAAACUUGGAUAACUGAAGUGGUGAAUGAAGUUUAUCAAGUCUUCAAAAUAUAAUUCAUACUUUGUGCUUUGUUUGCUUAUGCUUAUUUAGCUCUUACUAUAAAACUCUAUUUUGUAUCUGAUGUAAGGUAGUUUCCAUCAUACUAUAACAAAUGACAUGGAUUUAGUGACAGAAAUUUUUUACCGUGAGGGUGCUGAGGCACUGGAACAGGUUGCCCAGGGAAGCCCCGUUCCUGGAGGUGCUUAAGGCCCAGGUGGGAUGAGGCUUUGAGCAGCCUAAUCCAGUGGAAGGUGUCUCUGCCGUGGCAGGGGGGAUGGAACUAGAUCAUCUCUUAAGUUCCUUACAACCCAAAUAAUUCUAUGAUUCUAUAAAUCAGUAUUCUCCAGUGCAAAGCAUGCCAAGAGCCCUGAGAUGAGGACUGCAUCCAGCUUUCCUGCACCAAAUCUCACUCUCCAGGGAGCAAAAUACAUGUGCUUCCCAGUCUUGAGGCCAUAAAAGAUUUCUUUUCCCACAUCAUAUUUACAGAGGUGCUAUUGUGAGGGAGCUUCUCAAAGAAAAACGUUUUAUUCACUGGAUAUCGAGUCUGUUUACCACUGUGGCAAUAAAACAACCUGAUCAACUUGAAUUGAGAAAUCACAGAGUUUGGAUGCAUUGCAUGUAGCUGUUGCGCAGACAAGCUUUCGUUCGCAACCAGCCCAGCUGGUGAGGGCAAAGUCAAACGGCAAGUCCACACCUGAAACUGCUGAGAAUACCAACCUGGGACUCACAAAUACCACCUCUCUACCUGUCACUUCUCUCC